GUAACGAGCAAGCUUAAGGUAUUCAGUACCGGAGGCGAAGCGAGAGCGAGUCUGAAUAGGGCGCAUAAAGUUCGUUGCCAUAGACCCGAAACCGGGUGACCUAACCAUGAGCAGGCUGAAGUGAGAGUAAAAUCUCAUGGAGGGCCGAACGCACGUUCGUUGCAAUGACCGGCGAUGACUUGUGGUUAGCGGAGAAAUUCCAAUCGAACUCGGAGAUAGCUGGUUCUCCCCGAAAUAGGUUUAGGCCUAGCCUUGAUUGAAUCUGCCCGGAGGUAGAGCACUGAAUGUGCGAUGGCGUCGUCUAGAUGUACUGAGUACAAUCAAACUCCGAAUGCUGGGUAGUACUAAUCAGGAGUCACUGUAUGGGUGAUAACGUCCAUACGGGAGAGGAAAAGAAUCCGGAUCGCCAGCUAAGGUCCCAAAAUUUGUGUUAAGUGGGAAAGGAUGUAGAGUUGUCAAAACAGCUAGGAGGUUGGCUUAGAAGCAGCCACCCUUUAAAGAGUGCGUAAUAGCUCACUAGUCGAGUGACACUGCGCCGAAGAUGUACCGGGGCUAAACACAAUACCGAAGCUGCGGACUUGCAUGUAAGUGCAAGUGGUAGGGGAGCGUUCUAAGGGCUGUGAAGGUAGACCGUAAGGACUGCUGGAGCGCUUAGAAGUGAGAAUGCCGGUGUGAGUAACGAAAAUUGGGUGAGAAUCCCAUUCACCGUUUGACUAAGGGUUCCUGGGUAAAGUUCGUCUUCCCAGGGUAAGUCAGGACCUAAGAUGAGGCUGAAAAGCGUAGUCGAUGGACAACAGGUUGAUAUUCCUGUACCACCUAUAUGACUGAAGGAGUGACGGAGAAAGCUAGUGAGAGCCAGUUAAUGGAUUCUGGUCUAAGUGCGUAGGCUAGUAUGUUGGCAAAUCCGCAAUACUAUAACAGCUGAAACAUGAUGGGGAAGAGAGUCUUCGGACAAUCGAACUUUCAUGAUGCUAUGCUUCCAAGAAAAGCUUCUAGGGUUAAUCGUAUAGGUGCCUGUACCGACAACCGACACAGGUGGUCAAGGAGAGUAUCCUAAGGUGAGCGAGAGAACUAUGGUUAAGGAACUCGGCAAAAUGACCCCGUAACUUCGGGAGAAGGGGUGGUCUAGCGAUAGACCCGCAGUGAAUAGGCCCAGGCAACUGUUUACCAAAAACACAGGUCUCUGCUAACACGUAAGUGGAUGUAUAGGGGCUGACGCCUGCCCAGUGCUGGAAGGUUAAAGAGAUUAGUUAGUAUGACGUAAGUCGAUAAUACGAAGCUUUGAACUGAAGCCCCAGUGAACGGCGGCCGUAACUAUAACGGUCCUAAGGUAGCGAAAUUCCUUGUCAGGUAAG
This 1355-nucleotide ribosomal RNA is filed under the name metagenome. Its description in RNAcentral is "bacterial LSU rRNA". It matches the Rfam family "Bacterial large subunit ribosomal RNA", at positions 633 to 1980 of the family's 2925-position model. The record is from RNAcentral.